RNAcentral lists this long non-coding RNA (9596 nucleotides) under Nicotiana tabacum (common tobacco). RNAcentral's name for it is "long non-coding RNA (NTAB_LNC012105)". Lineage: Eukaryota; Viridiplantae; Streptophyta; Magnoliopsida; Solanales; Solanaceae. The record is from RNAcentral.
CAACGAGACUCGAGUGCCCACUGGAAUUGUAGCAGGCUCACCAUAAUCUGAUGCACUGAAGAUCCCUACCAAAGAUCGAUAUCAUCCUGUUGAAGUAUACCUGCAUCCAUUAAAAGAUGCAGCACCCCCGGCAAAAGGGACGUUAGUACUGUCGAAUAGUACUAGUAUGUACAACUAAACACCCUCUCAAUAGAACAAUUAAUAUUACAAGGAGGAAUAAUCACAAAAUCAAUGAAAGUCUCGAACAAUACCAAAACAUCAAGUAGGUUGAAAUAUCAAGCCUUAUUAUACUUGCAUCAUUCGAAACUUCUUUUAGGUUCAACUGAGCCAUAUGAUCUACACGCGGAACACAUAAUACAAAGUAAUUGAAAUAACAUGUACAAACAAGGCCAAUGAAAAUGGCUCAUAAUGUCUGCGUUGACAAUGCGUCUUACUUGACCGUCCAUAUCCCUCUCUUAUCUUACCCAUAUGCAUUUCAUAGACCGUCCCUAGUGUUGACAUAUCAUAUUAUACACCUAUGAGUUUCAUAGACCGUUCAUAGGAUUCCAAACACAAUACACCUAUACAUCUCAUAGACAUGUGCGUUUCAAAGACCGUUCACAGUGUUUACUUACACAAUACACAUGUGCGUUUCAUAGACGCUCACACUGUUUACUUACACAAUACACCUGUGCGUUUCAUAGACCGUUCACAGUGAUUACAUAUACCAUACACCUGUGCAUUUCAUAGACCGUUCACAGUGUUUACUUACACAAUACACUUGUGUGUUUCAUAGACCGUUCACAGUAUUUACUUACACUAUAUACCUGUGCAUUUCAUAGACCGUUCACAGUGUUUACUUACACAAUACACAUGUGCGUUUCAUAGACCGUUCACAGUGUUUACUUACACAAUACACCAGUGCGUUUCAUAGACCGUCCAUAGGGUUAAUAACAUGAUAUACCUAUGCGUUUCAUAGACCUUCCGUAGGGUUCAUAACACAUCAUUAUACAUAUAACCAUGUAUAAACUCAAAGCGACAUGAUUAACAUAACAUUAAGGUCGUAAGUUCCAGGAUCAUUGGAACACUUCAUUUUUAUGCCCAUCAUGGAGAAACAUAAAACAUUACAUUAACACAUGCAUGGUGAAUCAUUAAGUCAAUUUCAAUGGCACAUAAGCCCAAUUACCUUUCUUAAGGUUCAUCAUCAUUUAACAUAGGACAUCUCCCUUCCAUCUCGUUAUUCACUCACUUGACAUCUUGAGGUCAUUAGCUAAGUUCAUGAUUCUUGAGGACUUAACAUCGAAGUCAUUUACAUCAUUAUUUCAGAAGCAUACAACUAUAGUUNAAACCAUUUUGGGACAUACAACACCUACAUAAUUCUCAUUUAGGCGAACAACCACAUUUCAUCUUCAUAUUUCAUUGGUUCCCUUUUUGCCAUACAUAUUAUUCUUCAUUCUUGGCACGGUGACCGUAUCUUAUAUUCCAUACUUUCAUUUCAUUACUUUCAAUACUCAUCAUCAAAUUUCACACAUCAUUUCAUUUUAUUGGCUCUAUUGGCCAUAAUCAAAACUUUCAUUAUUGGCACGGUGUCUACACUUUAUAUCCCCAACUCACUACUUUCACUUUCAAGCAUCUUUAUAAAUUAUCGACAACAAAGAAUCUUAAAUCACAACUUUUAGUACACCUAUGAGCAGAUAAGAGUCUUAUGUACAUUGAGUCUUCUUACACAAUUUGGCAUAAUAGCCUUCACUUGAAACGCUACUUGGAGUCAUAAUAUUUUUAUACCCAACUCAUGCCUUGAACACAUUCCCGAAGGAUAACAUCAUAUGAUAAGAGUAUCCUAAAUACAUUUGAAUAUGUACCUUUCAACACAAAGCUUAUUUGGAAUAAUUGAUUUAUAAAGAAUAACUCGGGACUUACAAGAGCAUCAUGGAAUUCAAUUCUAUGAAAGAAGUUUAGCCAUCAUACCUCGCUUUGAGCUUUUCUUAUAUUACUACAAUGUUCCGAAAAUUCUAGCAAUCCCAAUCUAUUUUGAGACUUAACAAAAUUGAACCAUAAUUAGGAAGAUAUUCAUGGUCUCAGCUCGUUUGAGCAUUUUAUUAAACACUAGGUGUGCAAAUUUAACUACAAGGUUCCUCUAUAAGAUUUUCUUCACUCCACAACCCAAUCUUUACUUAUUUGAGCUCAACAAUCUUCCCACAAAUCUUAUUUGUACAAGCAUGUAUAAAUAAUACUCUUAUACCCAAGAAUCAUACUCCAAAUCAGCCAUCUUUUACCCAAAUUCGAAAUUGGAAACUUGGGUAUGGAACCUUAUCUCUUAGAUGAAAAUCUUGUGAUUAGCUUCCUUGAUUCUUGAAGAUUGGUGCAAGAUUGGAUGAUUAUAAUGUUAGGUUCCCUUCUUCUCUCUCUAAAAUUCUCUUACCUCUCUCUAAAACUCUCAGAAAAAUAUUCCAAAAUAAGCCCGAAAGGCUAUUUAUCAAAAUGGAGUCGGGUUAUAAAAAAAGAAAAAUUAACCCUCCGAAAGCAGAUUUGCGGUCGCAUAAUAGACCGCAGAAUGGGUAUGCGGGUUGCAAAAUACACCAAAAAAUCGAUGCCCAGAAAUGGGCUUCCCUGGACAGGUCUGCGACCAUUUUGCGGUCGCAUAACUACUUCUGCGCACGCAUAAUGGUUCUGCGAUCGCAAAAUUCGUCGCAGAAUCGAAUUUUUCCAGCCUUGGAUAAUUUGGUCAUAACUUCUUGUAGUAAUAUCCAAAUGACAAACGGUUUGAAUCAUUGGAUACUAGACUCAAAGGGCUUUAAUUUGAUAGUUAAUAUACCAUAUAAACCUUUAUAUCAAGAGAGUUAUACUCAUUUGAAAUUAGGUCUUGUGCGAACUCACUUGAAUCUUUAUUCUAUCAUGAAAUUUUCAUCUUGCCUUAGCCUUGGGGUUCUUCUUAUCCCAUAAUCCAUUCUUAGUGCACUUAAUACAAAUAUUAUCAAGAUAAAUUGAUAUUAUUCUUAUAAUAGUCCUUGUCUGCACAUAAAAUAAUAUAAUUAGCGCACAUCAACUUUCUUACUAGCGCUCAUGUACUUUGAAAUUUUUCAGGGUGUCACAACUCCAUCCCUUACAAGAAGUUAACACAUUCCAUGAAAUCAUCCAUUUCUUCAUCAUCAAAGUUUUGCAAAACAGCUUCUAACAUGUCACCCAUGUUGAUUGUGGCACCAAUGUCAUAAAUCAUGACAUCAGUCACCAAAUCCAGAAAAGAGAACACCCUAUUGCUAUUUUGUUGUUGCAUAGACUUGCACACAUGAAAUAUUACUUGCUUAUCACCAACCUGUAAAUAAGUUCUCCGGCUUCCAUAUCACAAUGGGAUUUUCUCGUAGCAAGUAAUGGCCUCCCAAGAAUAUUUGGCACUUCAUAGUCUACCUCACAAUCAAGAAUAACAAAGUCCGUUGGAAGAAUGAAUUUAUCGACUUGAAUCAAUACAUCUUCAAUCACUCCCAAUGGUCUCUUCAUUGUGUGGCCGUCCAUUUGUAACCUAAUGGAUGUGGGUCUUGAUUUUCCAAUCCCCAAAUUUUUGAAAACUGAGUAGGUCAUCAAGUUGAUACUCGCCCCUAAAUCACAUAAGGCCUUUGAAAAAUUGGCCAAUAGUACAAGAAAUUGUGAAAGCACUAGGAUCCUCCAAUUUGGGAGACAUGAAAUGAACAAUUGCACUAACUUGAUGAGUGACCUUGAUUUCUUCAAUGUUUAUUGAUCUCUUCUUGGCCACAAUAUCUUUCAUGAAAUUGGUAUAGCAUGGCAUUUUCUCCGGCGCUUUCACCAAUGGCACAUUAAUAGAUAAACACUUCAUCAUUUGGAUGAACUUUGUAAAUUGAUUCUCAUCAUUUUUCUUAGCAAUCCUUUGGGCAUAAGUAGGGGAGGAUUUGGAAAAGAUGCCUUGGCCUUUUGUACUACCGGCUUCGGUACGUCAAUUAUAUAUUCCCCAGACGGGUACACCUCCUCUUUACUCUCUACCACAUUAUCAUCAUUGUCAAUUCGGACAUCAUCAUUUACUUGAGCAUCAUCAUGUGGAACAUCUUCCUCUUGUAGAAUUUGGUCUUCAUUCACAAUUAUCUUUCCACUUUGAUUGGGUACAUUCCCACUGUUUCCACUUCUCGUGACAAAAGUCAUAGCAUGCCUCGUGUUAUUACCACCACUACCGUGUCACUUGGUAAUGAACCUUUACGCCUAGUAUUAAAGGUUUGAGAAAUCUGCUCCAUUUGGACUUCAAGAUUAUAUAGCUAACAUCGUAAACGCCUCGGCAACAACGCCAAAAAUUAAUAACGCCUAAGACACACCCUAAGAUGGGAUAUGUAACGGUUGUUUGCAAUAUAUUAUACCAAAAAAGAGUCGGGGUGGAACCACAAGGAAUUUUAAUGAGUGCUAAGAUAAAUACUUAAGUAAACAAUUCAAUAUAUCUUAGAUUAACAUUCAACAAAACUUUGUUUAGUAACACUAUUAAUUAUACUAAUAAUUAUCUAAGAGACAUUUAUCAAACAUUUAAUAUGUUAUAGUUUAUCUAAGUUGUAAGAAAUAGAGAAAGGCCUAGAGUUGUAGUCCUAAGCUAUGUGUAAACCUAAUGGGUGAAAUCUAAUAUGCUUGGUUGAUUUAUUAGGGUUGUUAUGACUCUCAAAUCUAAAGUGCUCACUCAAUACCUCUCGAUUAAAGAGUGAUUAUGCCCAAAUUAGCUUUCUUAAUUCUAAAUGGGUAGCGAUACGAAUAAUUUAUUUUGAGCCCGAGUUGGAUUAUUGCUAUCUCUAGUUUAAAUUCGUUAAUUAAACCAAUCAAUACCGCAACUAGUCCAAUUUCUUGAUAUCCAAGUUUUCCUAAACCUAGUUGCUCUUCCUCAAGUAAGAAUAAAGUCAAAAAGGUAUGAAUCAAUAUUUGCAACCAAUAAUUCCAGUUUAAAGCAUGAAAAUGGAAUAAUAUAACAAUAAACCCAAUCAUAAACAAGAAUAUUAUUAGUAACCAAUACGAUUCACACACAAGGGUUGGAUUACAAUCCUAGAUAACAGUCUAACUACUCAUAAUAAAAGAAAUAAAAGUGAAAAUAAAAAAUGAAAUCAAAGACAUAAUACUAAAAUAAAAGAAAGAUGAAAUGGUCCUCUCCAAAUUAUAGCUCAAACUUGAUCCCAAUAGCUAAAACUAAGAACCCACAACUGCAACAGUGAAAGAUACCUAAAAUUGCUAAAAACAUGUCACGACCCCAAUUUUCAUCCGUAGGAUAUUGUGAUAGCACCUAGUCUCUAGGGCUAGAUAAGCCUAACAUUCAUGCAAAAAUAACUGAAAUAAUGAUUUAAGUCUGAGUAACUCAACAACUAAUAUAAAGAAAACUCUGUAACUCAGCAUAUACAACUUCCCAAAACUCAGCGAAUAAAAGUCACAAGCUCUAUAAGAUGGUACUGAACAUCCCUAUACAUCAGUGUCUAUAAAAGGAUAAGGAAAUAAAAUAGACUAGAUAGAGGGGGACUCCGAGUCAUGCGAACGCUGGCAAGUAUACCUUGAAGUCUCCGAACUAAGCUUGUUGCACCCUAUUUUGCACUAGUCAAAACAAAAUUGAACUUGUGGUUUCUCUGUUGUUGAUAAAAGAGAGUCGCCAGCUAAUAUUUAAAGGUAUACUAGGGUACCUAUUUAAUUAUUAAGUCACAUUAUUUAUUAUUCUGCUAACCGGUGAGAUUAUAGGUAAGGGUUCUUGUUCUUCUAAGGGGAAGGUUUUAGGCACUCCGUCAAACCUACCUGAGGUAGCUCCAUAGGACUUAGACUAGACUUGGGAUCAAUAAUUUGCACUAUGCUUUAAUUAAUAUUAAAGAGUACGGCUUACUGUAUACCUAAGGGAGAGUAUAAUAAAAGAGCGUGAGACCUUUAAAUGUAUGUGAAUUUAUAAAGGAGUCUAAAGAUAUGUUGGUGGAUAUAAUUGAAAGAGUUUUGAAAUGUGUAUGUAAAUGGUUAUAUUUAUAAAGCAUGUGAAAAGAGGUAAAGUUAUGAAAACACUUUGUUUAGAGAAUGGGUAUUCAUGUAACUCUAAGAGAUGUUUGUAGGAAAGUGAAACUAAAAUAUACCUUACAUUCUGAAAUCUUAAAUAUUUGACUUGAGAAAUGGUUUUGAAAUUCUUGUUGGGCAGUAGCACUUUAAUCUUUUGAAAGAGUCGAUUUUCUAGACUUGCGAUUCAGAUCUGAUUUUCUAUGUUAUGCGCUUCAAAAUCUUGGUAACAAAAGUAGAUGAGCAAAACAUAAUAUGAUAUAAAAAAAUACAAUUAGCGAAAUGGGGAUUAAUUACUAACUGAUUCUUUUAGUCAUAUGUUUUUAGGUCAUGCCUAAGUUUUAUAUGACAUUAAAGCAUAAAAUAAAGUAUGUGAUCUAAUAUAUGAGUGGUAUAUACAUGUGAGAUAGAACAAUAACAAAGAUAUAAUAAAUGCAACGAGACAGUGGGCUAAACUAGUGAAGCAGUAAACUGAACUAACGAGGCAGUAAUCAAUAAUAAAGGAGUUGAGGGAGAGAGGACUGGACUCUGGAAAUUGGGCCUCAAGAAGGCAGGCCCAGCAGUAAAGAAAUGGCAGUAGAUGACUCCGGACUCCUAAUGCAGCAAUACUGGGCUUAGGCCGGAGUUCCUUAGGAACUCAGCAUGCCAAAACAAAUAUACAUGUCCAAGAAAAAGUUAAAGUCAUUAGAUACAUGUUCUAUAUAUAUUCAACCAUGCACCAGACAUAUAAACAGAUGGUCGAAGCAAAAAUGCAAUAUACUAUCAAUACUAUAAUACUAUGAGAAAACUCAUACAAAUGUAAUGGUUAUACAUGGUAAAUAAUUUAUAUUGAAAACCUUUCGUUGUCAUUAAACACUAAGCCCCAAGAGAACCAAAAGUGUCAAUGAAUUAAAGGCUAAGGAGGGAGUUCUUCUCAAGGUCGAUGUCCCCUUUGAAUCCCCUGACACUUCAAAGUUUCCAAGAGACUCAAGGCCCAGGGCAAUGCUUGUGCCAGGGAGAGUAGCCCAACCUAGAGUUAAACUCCACUCCCAAUACCCCUAACCACUAACAACUUAUUUUUCCCUAUGGGUUUAAAUGCCAAUGAGCCCCUUUCAAUGUAAACUAAAUUCUAUGAUAUACCCUACCAUAAAAGUAUACUUUUCUCCUAGCAGAAUAAUAUAGGGACACACAAACAAUCCUUAUGACUACUUAUGAAUACCAAAUGAGCAAUACACACAUCAAGUAAAUCUAAAGGUCAGACUUCGAGCACAUAUAAGAGAGAAACAGAAACAUCAUGGUAUACUGUUAAAUGUCUAACACAGGGGAAAUACAUUAAAAGGAAAGGUAAAGAAUGCUGAAUUUAGGUGUGCAGCAACCCAAAAAAUGUAAAUAUUUCUACCCUGAUAGACUAAUUAUAGAUUGAUUAGCUUAGGUCUUGCCACUAGCACACGCAUAGUUUAAUAACACUAUUUGGAACCUUUUAAAAGGGCAUCAGUAAGGGUUCAAACAAACAGUUACAACUAACCACUUUUACAAAAGUUAUCAGAGAUAUCACUAACAUGAUCAACAUUCUCAAUAUAACUACAAGUUCACAGAUUUGAAUAAGGAAUUCCUAAGGUGCUCAACCGGAUCACAUUCAUAAGAGUAUUAACCUUAAAUAAACUAUUAUGGAUAGGUAGUGUCAAUAAAAUACUUCUCAUAUGAUUUAAAGAUCUGAUUCAGGUUAGGUUGACAGUAAGGAGAGGACUGAGUACUAUUUUAAAACAAAGGCAUGGAAUCAUGAAGCCAAAAUUGGGAAACAUAUAACAUCAACUAUGCACAUAUACUUUAAUGAUUUUUACAAAGGCUGGGUAAGCUUUACAAAUUCAGCAAUGCCAUGAGGAGGUUAAAGACAAAGAAAGCGCUAUGUCAAAAUAAGUUUAACUCUGAUAUACAAACAGAGAUUUUAUAUAUAAACAUGAGACAACUAUGUUCAGAUUAAAUACAGUUACUCUUCAACUGUAACAAACAAAACCCAUGACCUAUUGUUAUGAAAAUGGGUAACUUAAUCUUAACAAAGUAUGUACAGAAGGAUUAUUGGUAUUCCCAAGAAUUCGUGUUAGUAAAACUAUCUCAUAUAUGUGCAGCCAAUCAAUUAGACAUAAGAUUAUCAUAAUAAAGAAGAAUCAGAGAGCUAUUCUCAGAAUUAACAGACACAUGUAUAGAGGAAGAGAGCAUUUAAAACACUUGCAUUUCUCAGACUUCAGAUAAAUGGUGAAGGGUGUAAACUCUUACCUCUCAGAUUUUGUCCUAAUGAGGAUUAUCAGACAGUGCUUUCGACCACAAGACAACAUGAUGCAGGAAAACAGUGUAUAAAGAUGAAGAUUAUAAUAAAUAUCAUAAUAGAACUAUUGACUGAAACCUGAAGUUUGAACAAGAAUGGGAGUCAUUAGAGAAAAUUUAGGAAGUUUAAUCGUAUUAGCUAUUUUAAAGUUAUUAAGGCUCAUAAUGGAAACUUAAUCAUGUAGACUGUUUAGGCUCAUAAGUGCAAGUCAUUAAAGCCACAUAACAAUUUAAUCAAUACCAAUCAAAGAGAUUCAGAAAAAAUAUGAUGCAUGACCACAGAUCAACAACACUUUAAUAUGAACUAGGAUAAGACUUUAAUAUGAACUGGGAUAACAUGUACAUAGCAUUUAAGUAAAGCAAUUAGAAGAGACGAGGGUAAAUGCGCACUGACCUUUCUUAGGGCAGCAAACCAAAUAGAACUUGUUUAGCCGUUAGAACAAGAGAACUCAGACAUUUCAACCAAAUAAAUACCUUAGAGCAAAAUCAGAAUUCGAGUACGAGCUUAACCUUAAUCGAAGAAAUUCUACAACUACCAUACUGAUUUUGCCUUUACUAAGUAUUCUUGGUGUAUUCUUUUUCAGUGUUAGGUGGUAGUGUAGAUGAUUUAGGUGAGAACAUUAAAGGCCCUAUUUAUGGUGUCAUUAAGGCUCUAGGGUCUCAACGGAUUCAAAAUCAUGAGUGAAAAGUGACAAAAGAUUGAUGAUGAUAGCAAAAUCGAGUGAAUAAUCUCAGAGACAGAGGGGAAAAAUCAUGAACAAGUUUACCUGAGUGAAGAAGGUUGAUCGUUAAAGGCAAAACCCAUCGGUCAAAGUUCCAAUGUCCAGAGGUCAUUGCAUUUGACCUCUGGACUUCGAAUAAUCAUGAUGAGGCUUUGCAAUGUGCUCAUGCAUUCUCUGAUUUAACAAAACAUGAAGGAAAUCAGGAGAUAUGAAGUUGCAUUUUUGAGUCUGCGGUUUCAGAUUAGGGGUUGCAAAUUUAAUCAACGAAAUUGGAAACUGAAAUCAACUGGUUUCAAAACCUAGGGACAAAGCAGACGAAUCUAUAAGUUGGAUUUGAAAGAACGAAGGAGAAAUAAGGCUAGCGACGUUUUGAGGUUAGUCUUCCAGGAUUGGUUUUUGAAUUUUGAGUGCUGAGAUAGGAAAUAGCAGGCUGGAUUCGCGGAUAGAGAGACAAAAGAGAUGAUCCUGAGUGAUUUCGAGUGACCUUGCACAAAUUUGUGCAAGGUUUUAGAGUUUGAUGGUUGAGGCAGAUAAGAGAAAAGAGAGAGAAAAGGGAAAGAGAGGCGGCCAGGUCUUUGAGUGAAUGAUUAGGGUUUG